This 337-nucleotide unclassified non-coding RNA is filed under the name soil metagenome. RNAcentral describes it as "partial contains 5.8S ribosomal RNA, internal transcribed spacer 2, and large subunit ribosomal RNA". The stretch from base 4 to 118 matches the Rfam family "5.8S ribosomal RNA", at positions 40 to 154 of the family's 154-position model. The record is from RNAcentral.
GAUGGAACGUAGCGAAAUGCGAUAAGUAGUGUGAAUUGCAGAAUUCAGUGAAUCAUCGAAUCUUUGAACGCACAUUGCACCUCUCGGUAUUCCGGGAGGUAUGCCUGUUCGAGCGUCAUUUGUACCCUCAAGCUCUGCUUGGUGUUGGGUGUUUGUUCCGCCUCUGUGUGUGAACUCGCCUCAAAACAAUUGGCAGCCGGCGUACUUGUUUCGGAGCGCAGCACAUUUUGCGAUCCAGAUCAACGUACAGCGGCAUCCAAGAAGCCUUAUUUAACGCUCUUGACCUCGGAUCAGGUAGGGAUACCCGCUGAACUUAAGCAUAUCAAUAAGCGGAGGA